UGGGGAAUAUUGGACAAUGGGCGAAAGCCUGAUCCAGCCAUGCCGCGUGCGUGAAGAAGGUCUUCGGAUUGUAAAGCACUUUAAGUUGGGAGGAAGGGCAGUAAGCGAAUACCUUGCUGUUUUGACGUUACCGACAGAAUAAGCACCGGCUAACUCUGUGCCAGCAGCCGCGCUAAUACAGAGGGUGCAAGCGUUAAUCGGAAUUACUGGGCGUAAAGCGCGCGUAGGUGGUUCGUUAAGUUGAAUGUGAAAGGCCCGGGCUCAACCUGGGAACAGCAUCCAAAACUGGCGGGAUAGAGUAGGGCAGAGGGUGGUGGAAUGUCCGGUGUAGCGGUGAAAUGCGUAGAUAUAGGAAGAAACACCAGUGGCGAAGGCGACAACCUAGGCUCAUACUGACACUGAGGUGCGAAAGCGUGGGGAGCAAACAGG
RNAcentral lists this ribosomal RNA (429 nucleotides) under Pseudomonadota bacterium. Its description in RNAcentral is "Proteobacteria bacterium partial 16S ribosomal RNA". It matches the Rfam family "Bacterial small subunit ribosomal RNA", at positions 355 to 776 of the family's 1533-position model. Lineage: Bacteria; Pseudomonadati; Pseudomonadota. The record is from RNAcentral.